This 87-nucleotide small RNA is filed under the name [Pseudomonas] sp. BICA1-14. RNAcentral's name for it is "Pseudomonas sp. BICA1-14 isrK". It matches the Rfam family "isrK Hfq binding RNA". The record is from RNAcentral. Lineage: Bacteria; Pseudomonadati; Pseudomonadota; Gammaproteobacteria; Pseudomonadales; Pseudomonadaceae.
GUUGCUGCAAAUUCAGCGACCGGGUUUGGCGACCCGACUAUCAGUAGGCGCACAAGCGCCCCAUAUCCGACAGCAGGCGCUUUUUUU